GUGUAACAACACGGAUCACUUCCGCUGCAGAACUCGAAAGAGACUCCAGAGGCAGCUCGUCGAGCCCAAGCCGCACUAAUAAAAAAGGGACAACUCGCAGCCGCCUCUAACAACUCACUUCAAGGACACUCAAGCACACAACACCCUGAAGACAAGCCAGCAACCACCACAACUUCAGAAGAUAUCGGAAACCUACCAAUAUCACCUAAACAAUCUUGCUGCUGUAUUCUCUGAAUCCUCAACAAUUAAUCGGUAGAGUUCACACUAUCUAAUAUUCUUCCUUUUUAAUUAUAGUAUAACUUUAAUUUCGUACCAUGGUUACUAGAAUCCAACUAUAGUUGGAGCCAUGGCAGAAACAGAUGUUGAACACACACCACCACUAGCAAUCUCCAUGAAAUCCGAGGACUUGCUGGCGAGUCGUAUGGCCGGCAAUCUCCUCCAAAUCAAACUUGGCGAGAAAAUUGAAGAGCCACAGACCAUCUACAGAGUUCUU
RNAcentral lists this unclassified non-coding RNA (493 nucleotides) under Hevea brasiliensis (rubber tree). The record is from RNAcentral. Lineage: Eukaryota; Viridiplantae; Streptophyta; Magnoliopsida; Malpighiales; Euphorbiaceae.